Molecule: long non-coding RNA, 445 nt
Organism: Sinocyclocheilus grahami
Lineage: Eukaryota; Metazoa; Chordata; Actinopteri; Cypriniformes; Cyprinidae
Exons: 3
Source: RefSeq, a predicted model, not a curated record
GGUGACUGACAGUGUGUUAUUACUAAAGCUGUUGUGGACGUCUCUACAUAGAAUAAAUGUUAAUGGACAUUCUGGACUGAAGAUGAUGAUGUGUGAUGAACCGUAUCUGAAGCUUCAGAAACUGCAGAACAGCAAAAAUCAGAAGAGCAAAGACAAAAACUCACAAUCUGAAGAAUUAAAGAAGAAAUCUUGGAGACUUCAUAGUCAGCACAGUCUGGAACAAACAAGACCAAACUUCUCUUAUGAUGCCGAUGAAGCUGUAGAGAGUCAUUCAGUGAGAGACAGUGACAGAUGAGAUAUAAACUGCUCAUGGACAGAGAGAAAACUGAUGUGGAACUGAGCGACUGAAGAUGCAGCUGAAAUAUGGUGGAUUAUUUGACUGGAACUUUAAUGAAGCAAUAAUAAUAAAGCACCCAAACCGCUCCAGACCCAGACGACACUACAG